UGCCGGACCUGACUGCUAUCGGAUUGAUACUAAGCCAUGCGAGUCAUUGUAGCAAUACAAGGCAUACGGCUCAGUAACGCGUAGUCAACCUAACCUAUGGACGGGAAUAACCUCGGGAAACCGAGAAUAAUGCCCGAUAGAACAUUAUGCCUGGAAUGGUUUAUGUUCCAAAUGAUUUAUCGCCGUAGGAUGGGACUGCGGCCUAUCAGUUUGUUGGUGAGGUAAUGGCCCACCAAGACUAUUACAGGUACGGGCUCUGAGAGGAGUAGCCCGGAGAUGGGUACUGAGACACGGACCCAGGCCCUAUGGGGCGCAGCAGGCGAGAAAACUUUGCAAUGUGCGAAAGCACGACAAGGUUAAUCCGAGUGGUUUCCGCUAAAGAAACCUUUUGUCAGUCCUAGAAACACUGAUGAAUAAGGGGUGGGCAAGUUCUGGUGUCAGCA
RNAcentral lists this ribosomal RNA (443 nucleotides) under uncultured archaeon. Its description in RNAcentral is "bacterial SSU rRNA". It matches the Rfam family "Archaeal small subunit ribosomal RNA", at positions 15 to 463 of the family's 1478-position model. The record is from RNAcentral.